UACGGAGGAUGCGAGCGUUAUCCGGAUUUAUUGGGUUUAAAGGGUGCGCAGGCGGAGGCACAAGUCAGCGGUAAAAUCGCGGGGCUCAACCCCGCUCCGCCGUUGAAACUGUGUCCCUUGAGUGCGCGAAGGGUAGGCGGAAUGCGUGGUGUAGCGGUGAAAUGCAUAGAUAUCACGCAGAACUCCGAUUGCGAAGGCAGCGCACCGGCGCCCUACUGACGCUCAGGCACGAAAGCGUGGGUAUCGAACAGG
Molecule: ribosomal RNA, 252 nt
Filed under: uncultured bacterium
Lineage: Bacteria
Description: partial 16S ribosomal RNA
Rfam family: Bacterial small subunit ribosomal RNA
Source: RNAcentral